This is a long non-coding RNA of Artibeus jamaicensis (Jamaican fruit-eating bat), 1487 nucleotides long. RefSeq lists it as uncharacterized. The transcript is spliced from 3 exons. The record is from RefSeq and is a predicted model, not a curated record. Lineage: Eukaryota; Metazoa; Chordata; Mammalia; Chiroptera; Phyllostomidae.
UCUCUCCAACCCAGCAAUGGGUCUAGAGUCGUUCAUUUAUCAGAGGUUUUUGUACUGCACCUAAGGACUGUCCUCGGUCAUCAUAAGUGCCCUGGCUGAAGAUAACCUUCUCGAGGAACGAGUGGACAGAUAAUCACAAAUGCCAGGCGUUGCCUCCCUCCCCAGUGUCGAUCCCGGGACAGUGCGUGUAUCUCUGCUGCAACACACAGGCCACCACACGUACCUCUGAAAAAGGGAGCAGCCUGAGCAGAGGGGGCUGGAGUGCUGGGCUCCCCUGCAUCCUGUCUCCCAAGGGCCGGCAGGAUACCCCGCUGGAAGCCCACUUCCGCCCUCUCCAUCCGCUCCCUCAGCAAACCCAUUGAGGAGGGAACAUUUUCCUGUCCUGGGGGAAGAGAGACCUUUGUCCUGCUCUCUGAGGGUGGAAGGGGAAGAUGCACUGUGACCGAACACUUUUAACUCCAGGUUUCCCUGCAGAUCUCCAUGCAGCCUCCUCUGACAUGACUCUGUUCAACAUGUUCACCUUGGAGGUGCAGCUGAAGCGCAGUACACAGAGCACCGCCACGAGGAUGUGUUGCAAACCGUACAUGGUCCCUGGGCACUACAAAUAGUGAGAGCUGAAGGCCAAGGGCACAGCACAUUCAGUUGUGUGUCCCCAGCCAUUACUAGCCCAUACUACUCGAAUGAGGCCCAAUAAAUAUUUGUGGAAGAAUAAGUGGGUGCAUGGAGAUGUUUCAGAGAGGGAGAAGAGAUGGGCGUCUCUGGGGAUGAGAGGAACCGGGACCCCGUGAAGUGUGGGAAAUGUUUGGAAUACCCACAAUGGGAAUCCAAGAGAUAAUAAACGAGUGAUGGAUGCAGUGAUUGCCAGGCUACUCAACAUCAUCAGCCAACAGGGAAAUGCAAAGCCACAGUGAGAUACCACUUCACAUAUACCAGAAUGGCAGUAGUCAAAAAGGCAUAUAAUACUGUGUUGGCAAAGGUGUGGAGAAAUUGGAACCCUCCCACGCUGCUGGUUGGAAUACAGAAGAGUGAAACGACUUGGAAAAAUAGUUUGGCACCUCCUCAAAAGGUUAAACAUAGAUUUCACAUAGGAUCCAACAACUCCACUCCUAGAUGUAUGCUCAAGAGGAAUGAAAACAUGUAGGCAUUCAUGAAUUGGUAUUAGUGCUCAGGGUGACAUCAUUCACAGAAGAUAGAAAGUGGAGACAACCCAAACGUCCGCCAACUGAUAAAUCAAUAGACAAAAUGUGGUGUAUUAAUACAAUGGGAUAUUAUUUUAUCAUAAAAAGGAAUAAAGUGCUAAUAUAUGCUACAACAUGGAUGAACCUUGGAAAUAUGUGGAAAAAAAGUCAUGAGAGACCACAAACCUUAUGGUCUCAUUUACAUGAAGUGUCCAGCAUAAGCAGAUCUAAAGAGAGAACAAAAAAUUAGAUCUGUGGCCUCCUGGGGCGGGGCGAGCUUGGAGAAAAAUGGAGAUUGGCUGCAAAGAG